Molecule: transfer RNA, 69 nt
Filed under: Bos taurus (domestic cattle)
Lineage: Eukaryota; Metazoa; Chordata; Mammalia; Artiodactyla; Bovidae
Also listed under: 4 other names
Rfam family: tRNA
About the family: Transfer RNA (tRNA) molecules are approximately 80 nucleotides in length. Their secondary structure includes four short double-helical elements and three loops (D, anti-codon, and T loops).
Source: Rfam by way of RNAcentral
CCUGAUAGCUCAGUUGGUAAAGAAUCUGCAUGCAGUGCAGGAGACCCUGGUUCAAUUCCUGGGUCAGGA